This is a small nucleolar RNA of Astyanax mexicanus (Mexican tetra), 69 nucleotides long. Its record names the gene SNORD18. It matches the Rfam family "Small nucleolar RNA SNORD18". From Rfam's summary of the family: U18 is a member of the C/D class of snoRNA which contain the C (UGAUGA) and D (CUGA) box motifs. It is encoded in introns of ribosomal protein L1 in Xenopus and human, and in introns of elongation factor 1 beta in yeast. Related snoRNAs in Arabidopsis and rice have been named R63 and Z106 respectively. NCBI's taxonomy places the organism in Eukaryota, Metazoa, Chordata, Actinopteri, Characiformes, Acestrorhamphidae. The record is from Ensembl.
GAGCUGUGAUGAGUUUCACUUCAGGUCCGUGUUUAUGAAUCCUGUGAUUUUUCUUGAAGCGCUGAGUAA